This 1157-nucleotide long non-coding RNA is filed under the name Oryctolagus cuniculus (rabbit). RNAcentral's name for it is "lncRNA (ENSOCUG00000030943.1)". The record is from RNAcentral. Lineage: Eukaryota; Metazoa; Chordata; Mammalia; Lagomorpha; Leporidae.
UGUAUGCCAGUCACAGUACAAAGAGUGCAAAACCAAUUUCACGUCCUUAGUUCGCAAAGAAACAGGGGACGCAUUCAUUGAAAUGCUAGCUUCACUAUAAGAUGACAAAUGAGGUGGUGGACAAGUGUGCCCAGUGUCAUGUGGUGGACAUGCUGGAAAGGGAACGAGGAGCUCUGCCUGCCUCCCAGAAGAGAUGGGAUUGGAGCCAGGCCUUCAGGAAUGUUGUGCACUUCUGGCACUUGGCAGAGGGUCGGGGGCUGCAGCCUAUCCAGAGAGAACAAAGUAGGAAAGCACAGAGCGUGUGUGGGGAGCAACAGGUGGUAUGAUGUGACUAGUAGGGAGUGGGAGUUACAGUGCAAAUGCUAGUGGUGGACAGGUCAUGAAAAGCACAGGGCUGGGUCUAUCCUGGGAACUUUCCUACUCCUUUGUUGACCUUCAGAAUCUUUCUAAAAUUCUAAGUCUAAAUACUCUAAGUCUAAACAUUCUAGAAUGUUGGAAAAUAAGAGAAAUAACCAGGCUAUGUUUUGGUUGGUGGUAGUAGCAGUGAAGGCCUUGUCGUCCUCCUUCUCCUCCAUCCCCUCCUUUAUCUACUUCUCUUCCUUGUCUUCCUGAUGUAAAAUACUAAGAAUGCAUCUAUUUGUUAUAGUUUUGCAAACAACAGUGCAUAGAGCGCCUGGGCACAGGGAAAUUUGGGUGCCACUCUGUACUAGUUUUCUAUUCAGAAACAAGAUGCAGUUAUCUCAUAGUUAUAAAAUUGUUAAUGAGUUGAGACACUGUGCUAACCAUGAGCCACUCAGAGGCUGGAGCUGCUGUAGAGAGCUCUGGAGAUGACUGGGUAGAAUGUCAGAAUUGAAAUGACCUCAAAGCCCUAUUGUGCCCAAAUGGCCCUUGACAUGAAUGGGGAUGUUCUUGCUCAGGCUGUGGCUACAGAAAAAGAAACUGGCCCACUAUCCCUAGAUGAUUAUGCAGUCUUUGCAAAUGGGCAUGGCCAUAAGUUUCUUUCCCCCAAACUAAGCCUGUUGAUCACAUGGGAAGCUGCUCAUCUGAGAGGCUCUGUCCAUAACUGCAUUGGAAACGGUCACGUGGUUGGGAAGAAAGCUACUCGGAAAAGAAGGCCAGCAAAAAAUUGUCUGAAAAGCAGAGAAGUCCCUCCCUGA